RNAcentral lists this long non-coding RNA (493 nucleotides) under Oryza sativa Indica Group (long-grained rice). RNAcentral describes it as "lncRNA OsZS97_06G006430". The record is from RNAcentral. Lineage: Eukaryota; Viridiplantae; Streptophyta; Magnoliopsida; Poales; Poaceae.
AUGCUGCAGGGCACCUGGCUGACGAACAGUCGCAACCUCUCGCCGUCGCCAUCCUCCGCUUCUCCGGCCAUCACCGCGAUCUCUCUCUCUUCCCCUUUCGUGCAUGGAUCUUACGAAGGUCGGGGAAGGACGGUGAUGAUGGCGUGCCACGACGUCGAGAUGCCGUUCCUGCGGGGGAUUGACAUGAACCGGCCAGCGCUAGUGGCGGAGACGACGACGGCAAGGGGGGGGGGGGCGCAGCUGCAGCGAGGAGGACGAGGAGCCCGGCGUGACCUCCCCCAACAGCACGCUCUCCAGUCGGCAGCAACGACGAGGACUCCGGUGGCGGCGGCGGAUCUCGUGUACCACGGCCGGGGCAGGGUCGGGAGCAGCAGCAGCAGGGAGAAGAGAAGAGAGAAGAGAGAAAGGAGAAGAAAAGAGAAGAAAAUAAGAUAUGCAGAUGACAUGUGGGCCCCACGUGCUUUGUUUAAUUUUUUCUGCUGACUAGGAUUGC